GACGAACGCUGGCGGCGUGCUUAACACAUGCAAGUCGAACGGAAAGGCCCUGCUUUUGUGGGGUGCUCGAGUGGCGAACGGGUGAGUAACACGUGAGUAACCUGCUCUUGACUUUGGGAUAACUUCAGGAAACUGGGGCUAAUACCGGAUAGGAGCUCCUGCUGCAUGGUGGGGGUUGGAAAGUUUCGGCGGUUGGGGAUGGACUCGCGGCUUAUGAGCUUGUUGGUGGGGUAGUGGCUUACCAAGGCUUUGACGGGUAGCCGGCCUGAGAGGGUGACCGGCCACAGUGGGACUGGGAUACGGCCCAGACUCCAACGGGGGGCAGCGGUGGAGAAUAUUGCACAAUGGGCGGAGGCCGGAAGCAGCACCGCCGGGUGCGGGAUGCCGGCCUUCGGGUUGUAAACCGCUUUCGCCUGUGACGAAGCGUGAGUGACGGUAAUAGGUAAAGAAGCACCGGCUAACUACGU
Molecule: ribosomal RNA, 467 nt
Filed under: uncultured bacterium
Lineage: Bacteria
Description: partial 16S ribosomal RNA
Rfam family: Bacterial small subunit ribosomal RNA
Source: RNAcentral